UACGUAGGGGGCUAGCGUUGUCCGGAUUUAUUGGGCGUAAAGAGCGUGUAGGCGGCCAUGUAGGUCCGGUGUGAAAACUCGAGGCUUAACCUCGAGAUGUCAUCGGAAACCAUUUGGCUAGAGUCCGGAAGAGGAGAGUGGAAUUCCUGGUGUAGCGGUGAAAUGCGCAGAUAUCAGGAAGAACACCAAUGGCGAAAGCAGCUCUCUGGGACGGUACUGGCGCUGAGACGCGAAAGCGUGGGGAGCGAACAGG
This 253-nucleotide ribosomal RNA is filed under the name uncultured bacterium. RNAcentral's name for it is "partial 16S ribosomal RNA". It matches the Rfam family "Bacterial small subunit ribosomal RNA", at positions 524 to 776 of the family's 1533-position model. The record is from RNAcentral.